ACGGGGCAUUGCCUUAGUAGCGGCGAGUGAAGCGGCAAAAGCUCAAAUUUGAAAUCUGGCGCCUUCGGUGUCCGAGUUGUAAUUUGAAGAUUGUAACCUUGGGGUUGGCUCUUGUCUAUGUUUCUUGGAACAGGACGUCACAGAGGGUGAGAAUCCCGUGCGAUGAGAUGCCCAAUUCUAUGUAAGGUGCUUUCGAAGAGUCGAGUUGUUUGGGAAUGCAGCUCUAAGUGGGUGGUAAAUUCCAUCUAAAGCUAAAUAUUGGCGAGAGACCGAUAGCGAACAAGUACAGUGAUGGAAAGAUGAAAAGAACUUUGAAAAGAGAGUGAAAAAGUACGUGAAAUUGUUGAAAGGGAAGGGUUUGAGAUCAGACUCGAUAUUUUGUGAGCCUUGCCUUCGUGGCGGGGUGACCCGCAGCUUAUCGGGCCAGCAUCGGUUUGGGCGGUAGGAUAAUGGCGUAGGAAUGUGACUUUACUUCGGUGAAGUGUUAUAGCCUGCGUUGAUGCUGCCUGCCUAGACCGAGGACUGCGAUUUUAUCAAGGAUGCUGGCAUAAUGAUCCCAAACCGCCCGUCUUGAAMMAMGGGACMCAAAA
RNAcentral lists this ribosomal RNA (590 nucleotides) under Meyerozyma guilliermondii. Its description in RNAcentral is "partial large subunit ribosomal RNA". It matches the Rfam family "Eukaryotic large subunit ribosomal RNA", at positions 68 to 664 of the family's 3401-position model. Lineage: Eukaryota; Fungi; Ascomycota; Pichiomycetes; Serinales; Debaryomycetaceae. The record is from RNAcentral.